This 611-nucleotide ribosomal RNA is filed under the name uncultured bacterium. Its description in RNAcentral is "bacterial SSU rRNA". It matches the Rfam family "Bacterial small subunit ribosomal RNA", at positions 31 to 677 of the family's 1533-position model. The record is from RNAcentral.
GUACGCUGGCGGCUGCUCACACAUGCAAGUUGAACGGGUUUAAGUUUAUUAAACUUAAACAAGUAGCGGACGGGUGAGUAACGCGUAAGAACCUACCUUUAGGUAAGGAAUAACUAUUGGAAACGAUAGAUAAUACCUUAUAAGCUUAUAGUAAAAGAUAAAAUCGCCUAAGGAUGGGCUUGCGUCUGAUUAGCUUGUUGGUGAUUUAAAAGAUUCACCAAGGCAACGAUCAGUAGUUGGUCUAAGAGGAUGAUCAACCACACUGGGACUGAGACACGGCCCAGACCUCUACGGAGGGCAGCAGUGAGGAAUUUUCCGCAAUGGGCGAAAGCCUGACGGAGCAAUGCCGCGUGGAGGAUGAAAGCUUGUUAGUCGUAAACUCCUUUUCUUAGUGAAGAAAUAAGACGGUAUCUAAGGAAUAAGCAUCGGCUAACUCCGUGCCAGCAGCCGCGGUAAUACGGAGGAUGCAAGCGUUAUUCGGAAUUAUUGGGCGUAAAGCGUCUGUAGGUGGUUUUUUAAGUCUACUGUUAAAUAUUAAGGCUUAACCUUAAAAAAGCGGUAUGAAACUAAAAAACUUGAGUUUAGUAGAGGUAGAGGGAAUUCUCGGUGUA